RNAcentral lists this transfer RNA (83 nucleotides) under Canis lupus familiaris (dog). It matches the Rfam family "tRNA". From Rfam's summary of the family: Transfer RNA (tRNA) molecules are approximately 80 nucleotides in length. Lineage: Eukaryota; Metazoa; Chordata; Mammalia; Carnivora; Canidae. The record is from Rfam by way of RNAcentral.
GCCCGGGUAGCUCAGUGGUUGAGCGUCUGCCUUUGGCUCAGGUCGUGACCCCAGGGUGCUGGGAUCAAGUCCCACAUCGGGCU